GACCUUCUGAAUCCGUGACGAGAUUUCGUCAGACACUAGACCAUCAAUAUUGAUGAAACUCCCAAGAUAAAUGAAGUG
Non-coding RNA from Schistosoma mansoni, 78 nucleotides. The record is from Rfam. Lineage: Eukaryota; Metazoa; Platyhelminthes; Trematoda; Strigeidida; Schistosomatidae.